Molecule: long non-coding RNA, 4673 nt
Filed under: Daucus carota (carrot)
Lineage: Eukaryota; Viridiplantae; Streptophyta; Magnoliopsida; Apiales; Apiaceae
Description: long non-coding RNA (DCAR_LNC005293)
Source: RNAcentral
UACCCACCCCCACCAAGGACCAUUAGAGGAACGUUGAAAGAUCUGAGGAACCUCAGGCAAUCGGCGUGACCUUUUACCGACAAGUUGAAGCAUCCCAACCUGUCACCAGCCAGUGAAUCAGCUCCACAUUGGAGCACAACUGCUUCAGGUUGGUAGGCCUCCAUGACUUUACGGAUUACUGGUCGAAAUAGGUCUUGAAAACUGUCAUCAUCGAUACCAUCAUUCAGUGGCACGUUAAGGGCAUAAUUCUUGCCCUGACCAUGUCCAACAUCUUUAAUGUGCCCAGUUCCAGGAAAGAAGUCACCAAAUUUAUGAAAAGACACCGUCAUUACUCUGUCUGUAGUAUAAAAGGCCUCUUCCACACCAUCCCCAUGGUGGAUGUCAAUAUCAAUAUACAACACACGCUGCGCAGUAGAACUCAGUUUGUCAGGAUUUAUUAUCAAUACAGAAACAGUACAAAAGAAAAUUUGAGCUAACAGUACAAAAGAUUAAAAAGAUUGCAAUGCACGCGUAAUUAUAUCUCACAAGCUGCACUUAAGGAAUAAGUUGGAGCAUACAUUCAGGACAACCGAGCACCCAAAAAUAUAAAUUAGAGGAUGCAGAAAGACACCUUGCAAAAAAUUACUGUUCUUUAUUUGUUUAGGUAGCGGGGAGCAGAACCUAUCGUAAUUUCAUGAUGAACUAACAAUUCUAAUGUAAAUAAUUCUUCAAGAAAUACAGUAAUUACAAACUAAUCUAGUGGUAUUGCUAUCAUCCAUGUAAUUUAAAAAAUGAACGAGACAACCGUCUCAGUUCUUCACUUUUUUUUGUUGGUAUAACUAGCAUGUUGACACAAGAAGCGGACAUUUAUUUUGCUGCAAUGUAGUAUGAAUAUGUAUCCAACUAGUACAUACUUGUUAGUUAGGAGCAAAACUAUAAACAACUGCUUGCAAAGAGGAAUGCAGAUAACAAGUAUGAUAAUCAAAUUCGAGUAAAUUAAUUAAGUAAUCCUUUGCAGCAGGAAACAUCAAGUUGGUAAAUUACCCUGUAGACUUUAAUCACAAACACAUAAAUUCCCCGCUAGCAAACACCUAAAUUAUAAAUCAUAGGAUAUACUUCAAGGAGCUCAACAAAUACCAAGAUCAAUAUGAUUACAUUGAAAGAUGCAAUUGGACUAAACAACCAAACCCCCAAACUCAAAACCCCUAAAAAUCAAAAAUUUAAUCAUGCCCAGAUCAAGAAACAACAAAAUCAAACCAUACAAACACAUUGUAUCAUAUAAUUCGGCACAUACAAUUCAAAUAAACAACCAAGACCUGGAAAUCAAAAACCCAAAAAAAUCUAAAAAACAACAAACAAUACCCUGUGCCUUUUAAGCAGCUCAAGAAUGCCGAGCACAAUGUCAUUAACAUAGCAAAACCCUGAAGCCUCUGACUUUUUCGCAUGAUGCAGCCCUCCCGCCCAAUUAAUCGCAAUAUCAGCCUCCUGCAAAUUCAUCUUCACUGCCGCCCCAAUCGACCCCCCAGCACUGGCCUGACAAAACCCAAACAUCCCAUCAAACACCGGACAAUCCCCGCCCAUCUUGAAGCUCUUCAAGUGCCUAGCAUGCUCAUGAUCAUGUGAUGAUUCCGGGGUGACUGAGGCGAGAAAGUCGACGUAUUCUUCGGAGUGGAACUUCCCGAUGUCGGCAGGGGCGGCGGGGAAGGGGCAGAUGAUCUCCAUCUUGCGGUGGAGAUUGUAGUGCUUGAUGAGGUUGUGGGCCACGCGGAUGCGGUGGGGCUUCAUGGGGUGGCCUUGGCCGUAGUAGUAGUCACCGAUGGUGGGCUCGUAGAAGUAGGUGACGCGGCGCUUGGUGGCGUCAGAGCCGGGGGAGGGGAGGGAGGCGCCGGAGAAACCGUCGGUGGCCAUUUGGUUCUGGGGUUUCAGUGUGUGUGUGUUUGGUGAGGAGGUGUGAGAAAAGAGUGAAAGGGGGUUUCAGUGUUGGUGGGGGGUUGUAUUUAUAGGGGGAAGUAUCGAGCAGCAGUAAAUUUAGGAGUUUUCGGUUUGGUUGUAGCAAAUAGAUCGAGUGUAAUAGUAAUUUUACGGAAUUGUUGAUAGAAGCCUCAUGAAGUGAAUUUGGUUUUUUGAUUGAUUUUCGAUAUAAAUGAUCAAUCAUAGAUGAAAGUAUCGAGUAGCAGUGAACUUGAGAAUUUUUAAUUUAGUUUGGGGAACAAAUUGAGUGCAGUGACAAUUUUACAAAGUUAUUAAUAGAAGACUCGUAAAGUGAGUUUGGGUCCCACCGUCAAUUCUAGAUAUGAAUGGGUCAUAGGCGGAAGUAUCGAGUAGCAGCAAAUUUGAGGAUAUUCAGUUUUGUGAAGCUGUUGAUAGACGAUUCAUGAAGUGAGUUUGGGUCACCACCGAUCAUGGGUGUAAAUAGAUAAUAAGCGGAAGUAUCGAGCAGUAGUAAAUUUACGGGGUUUUGGUUUGGUUUAGGAAAUAAAUUGAGGGCAAUAGUAAUUUUGUGAAACUGUUGAUAGAAGUCUCGCGAAGUGAGUGUGGUUCUAUUAUAAAUCUUGGAUAAAAACGAUCAUAGGCGAAAGUAUCAAGCCGUAGUAAAUUUGAGAAUUUUUAAUUUGAUUUUAGAAACAAAUUGAGUGAAGUAAUAAGUUUAUAAAAUUAUUGAUAAAGGACUCAUAAAGUGAGUUUGGGUCCCACCACCGAUUUCGGAUGUGAACGGGUCGUAGGCGGAAGUAUCGAGUAGUAAUAAAUUCAGAGAUAUUCGGUUUGAUUCUGGAAACAAAUUGGAUGCAAUGGCAGUUUUGUGAAAUUGUUGAUAGAAGAUUCGUGAAGUGAGUUUGGGUCCCACCACCUAUCUCGAGUAUAAACGGAUCAUAGGGGAUGAGUAGUAAUAAGUUUUAUGGAUUUUCUGGUUCAGAAACAAAUUGGGUGUAGUUGUAAUUUUGUGAAAUUGUUAAUAGAAGACUCGUGAGUGAGUUUGGGUCCCACCAUCGAUCUUGGGUAUAAACGGGUCAUAGGCGAAACAUCGAGCAACAAUAAAUUUGAGGGUUUUCAGUUUGAGUUAAGAAACAAAUUGGAUGCAAUGGUAAUUAUGUGAAGUUGAUAGAAGACUCGUAAAAUGAGUAUGGGUCCCACACCACCGAUCUCGGGUGUAAACGGGUAAAAUUGAGUUAUUUGAGUUUAUUUUAAUGAUACGAGUUGAGUUCGAAUAUGAGAUUUUCGAUUAUUUAUUAAACUUAGAUCGGGUUUUAAAUCAUUCGAUUCAAAAGUUCGCGAGCUUCAUCGGGUUUUUAUAUAUAUUAUAUAUACAUAUACAUACAUGCAUGCUUACAUACAUACAUACAUACAUACAUAUAUACAUACAUAUAUAUAUAUAUAUAUAUUAUAAAUAUAUGUUUAUAAAUUUCUAUGUGGUAAAUGUAUUUCAAGUCAAGACAAUUUAAAUAUCUAAUCAAAAUGAUUUCAGUUGAAGUCAAGUCAAGAAACGGACAGUUAUUUUGCUGCAAUGUAGAAUGAAUCUGUAUCCAACUAGUACAUACAUAAUAUAUAUAUAUAUAGAUUGAUAGACACCUAGAUUAAAGCAAAUCAAGUGCAUCAAAAGUGAAAUAACAGGCAAGACGGUGCUCCGAGAACUAUUAUUUCAUAAAGCAUGUGCGGAAGAUUCAGUGUAUAUAUAUAAUACUACAAUGCAUAUUGUUUGAUUGCAGAGAGUAUUGAAUAAAAAAAAUACUCGCCCUGUCCAAAAAUGAUUCGUUUUGACUUUUUGCACAUAUGUCAAGAGGCAAAUUUGUUUGCCUUCUCUCGCGUAUUUUGAGGUGCAACAAAACUACUUCAGUAAAAUGUAUUUUCAAUAUUCUUUUUUUAACAAAAAUUUAAAAGCUGCACUUCUAUUAAAAAAAGAAUUUAAAAAAAAUGGGAAGUAAAUUUGUAUUGCUAAUCUACAAAAAGUCAAAGCAACUCUUACUCCGAGAAAAGAGGGAGUAAUACAUUAACCACAUCGUAUAUAUGUAAAAUUACUCGUACAAACUCAAAUAUGAUGAUCAUUAAUAAAUACAGCUUAAUAUUUACCUGAUCUUCUCUAGAUCGGCUGGAGAGUUGUGGUUCUCAACAGGAGUUGGUCGCACAUGAAGGGUGUAAUCUGGGCCAAAGUACUCAAAGUAAUCAUUGUAAGGCAAUUUAUUGUCAGGUUCCACCCCAACUGCAACUGCUGUCUGCAGAAUAAAUGAGUAAAACAACCAAGAUUUAGAAAGAAUAUUGAGUAUGAAUACCAUUGAGAAAAAAGGGAGAGAGAGGGGUGAGAGAGAGAACCUCAUAGCACCAGCAUCGGGCCACAUUCCGCAUUGUAUACCCACCCCCACCAAGGACCAUUAGAGGAACGUUGAAAGAUCUGAGGAACCUCAGGCAAUCGGCGUGACCUUUUACCGACAAGUUGAAGCAUCCCAACCUGUCACCAGCCAGUGAAUCAGCUCCACAUUGGAGCACAACUGCUUCAGGUUGGUAGGCCUCCAUGACUUUACGGAUUACUGGUCGAAAUAGGUCUUGAAAACUGUCAUCAUCGAUACCAUCAUUCAGUGGCACGUUAAGGGCAUAAUUCUUGCCCUGACCAUGUCCAACAUCUUUAAUGUGCCCAGUUCCAGGAAAGAAGUCACCAAAUUUAUGAAAAGACACCGUCAUUACUCUGUCUGUAGUAUAAAAGG